AUGGCUCAGGAUGAACGCUGGCGGCGUGCCUAACACAUGCAAGUCGAGCGAUUACUUCGGUAAAGAGCGGCGGACGGGUGAGUAACGCGUGGGUAACCUGCCUCAUACACAUGGAUAACAUACCGAAAGGUAUGCUAAUACAGGAUAAUAUAAGAGAUUCACAUGGAUUUCUUAUCAAAGCUCCGGCGGUAUGAGAUGGACCCGCGUCUGAUUAGCUAGUUGGUAAGGUAAUGGCUUACCAAGGCGACGAUCAGUAGCCGACCUGAGAGGGUGAUCGGCCACAUUGGAACUGAGACACGGUCCAAACUCCUACGGGAGGCAGCAGUGGGGAAUAUUGCACAAUGGGCGAAAGCCUGAUGCAGCAACGCCGCGUGAGUGAUGAAGGCCUUCGGGUCGUAAAACUCUGUCCUCAAGGAAGAUAAUGACGGUACUUGAGGAGGAAGCCCCGGCUAACUACGUGCCAGCCGCCGC
This 471-nucleotide ribosomal RNA is filed under the name uncultured bacterium. RNAcentral's name for it is "bacterial SSU rRNA". It matches the Rfam family "Bacterial small subunit ribosomal RNA", at positions 19 to 518 of the family's 1533-position model. The record is from RNAcentral.